UACGUAGGGACCAAGCGUUGUCCGGAUUUAUUGGGCGUAAAGAGCGUGUAGGCGGCUAGGUAGGUCCGUUGUGAAAACUCGAGGCUCAACCUCGAGACGUCGAUGGAAACCAUCUAGCUAGAGUCCGGAAGAGGAGAGUGGAAUUCCUGGUGUAGCGGUGAAAUGCGCAGAUAUCAGGAAGAACACCCGUGGCGAAGGCGGCUCUCUGGUACGUGACUGACGCUGAGACGCGAAAGCGUGGGGAGCAAACAGG
RNAcentral lists this ribosomal RNA (253 nucleotides) under uncultured bacterium. RNAcentral describes it as "partial 16S ribosomal RNA". It matches the Rfam family "Bacterial small subunit ribosomal RNA", at positions 524 to 776 of the family's 1533-position model. The record is from RNAcentral.